Molecule: ribosomal RNA, 253 nt
Filed under: uncultured bacterium
Lineage: Bacteria
Description: partial 16S ribosomal RNA
Rfam family: Bacterial small subunit ribosomal RNA
Source: RNAcentral
UACGUAGGGUGCGAGCGUUGUCCGGAAUUACUGGGCGUAAAGAGCUCGUAGGUGGUUUGUCGCGUUGUUCGUGAAAACCGGGGGCUUAACCCUCGGCGUGCGGGCGAUACGGGCAGACUUGAGUACUGCAGGGGAGACUGGAAUUCCUGGUGUAGCGGUGAAAUGCGCAGAUAUCAGGAAGAACACCCGUGGCUAAGGCGGCUCUCUAGUACGGUACUGACGCUGAGACGCGAAAGCGUGGGGAGCGAACAGG